Molecule: long non-coding RNA, 493 nt
Organism: Carassius gibelio (silver crucian carp)
Lineage: Eukaryota; Metazoa; Chordata; Actinopteri; Cypriniformes; Cyprinidae
Exons: 3
Source: RefSeq, a predicted model, not a curated record
UAAAGUGCACACUCAUUGUUUGCCUGGUGCUCGUGUUCUCGAUGUUUCUGCGCAGAUACCCGUGAUCCUGAAGGACGACGAGAGCCCCAGAGCGGUCGUGCUUCACGCCGGUGUUAACGACACCACGCUGCGGCAGACGGAGACGCUGAAGAGGCACUUCAGGAGCCUGAUCGAGACGGUUCGCAGCACGACGCCCACGGCGACGAUCGUCGUGUCAGGACCACUGCCCACGUAUCGACGAGGACACGAAAGGAGCGUCCUAGACUGUUUCGCGCUGAUGGAUUACACCCCAGCAAAAUCGGAGCGGAGCUGCUCUCUGACAACAUCUCCAGGACACUUCGCUCCAUGUGACUAGAUUUACACAAGCUCCAGUCUGGAUCCAGAACACCUGAGAAGAGAUGAUGCUGACCCUCAGAGGACCUCAGAUGAUGCUAACCCUGAAUCAACAAACAGAACUAACAAAUAUUGCUAAAUGUGUGACUGAAUCAUAUAA